RNAcentral lists this ribosomal RNA (372 nucleotides) under Triticum aestivum (bread wheat). RNAcentral describes it as "partial small subunit ribosomal RNA". The record is from RNAcentral. Lineage: Eukaryota; Viridiplantae; Streptophyta; Magnoliopsida; Poales; Poaceae.
AUGGUGUUCAGCGGCGCGUGGCUGGCGGCGGCGGCGCGGGUGCCGGCGGAGCUGUGCCAGGGGCCGCCGCGGCCGGGGCAGCGGCGGCGGCUGCGGGCCGACGAGGUGCUGCGCGCGCUGCUCACGCCGCCCGCGCGGGAGCUGGAGCGCCUGGCCGAGUGCCUCUACGUCUUCUUCUGCCUGCCGCUGCCGGAGCCGGACCAGUACUACGUGCCGGCGUCCGGGCGCGGCGGCUGGAUGGCGCGCCGGCCGCCCGGCGCCGUGCUGUACAGCUACCGGAGGUCCCUCUCGCUCUCCUCCGACGGCGGCUCGUCGUCGUCCACGUGGAUGGGCGGCUCCGACGAGGAGGGGCUGUACUACUCGGACGACUAG